UACGAAGGGGGGCUAGCGUUGCUCGGAAUCACUGGGCGUAAAGGGUGCGUAGGCGGGUCUUUAAGUCAGGGGUGAAAUCCUGGAGCUCAACUCCAGAACUGCCUUUGAUACUGAGGAUCUUGAGUUCGGGAGAGGUGAGUGGAACUGCGAGUGUAGAGGUGAAAAUUCGUAGAUAUUCGCAAGAACACCAGUGGCGAAGGCGGCUCACUGGUCCGGUACUGACGCUGAGACGCGAAAAGCGUGGGGAGCGAACAGG
This 256-nucleotide ribosomal RNA is filed under the name uncultured bacterium. RNAcentral's name for it is "partial 16S ribosomal RNA". It matches the Rfam family "Bacterial small subunit ribosomal RNA", at positions 524 to 776 of the family's 1533-position model. The record is from RNAcentral.